GGAGGGUGCAAGCGUUGUUCGGAAUUAUUGGGCGUAAAGAGCGUGUAGGCGGUCCGGUAAGUCAGAUGUGAAAGCCCUGGGCUCAACCCAGGAAGUGCAUUUGAAACUACCAGACUUGAGUACGGGAGAGGAGGGGGGAAUUCCCGGUGUAGAGGUGAAAUUCGUAGAUAUCGGGAGGAAUACCAGUGGCGAAGGCGCCCCUCUGGACCGAUACUGACGCUGAGACGCGAAAGCGUGGGGAGCAAACAGGAUUAGAUACCUGGGUAGUCCACGCCGUAAACGAUGAGCACUAGGUGUAGCGGGUAUUGACCCCCCUGCUGUGCCGUAGCUAACGCAUUAAGUGCUCCGCCUGGGGGACUACGGUCGCAAGACUAA
This 375-nucleotide ribosomal RNA is filed under the name uncultured organism. RNAcentral's name for it is "partial 16S ribosomal RNA". It matches the Rfam family "Bacterial small subunit ribosomal RNA", at positions 527 to 897 of the family's 1533-position model. The record is from RNAcentral.